This is a long non-coding RNA of Olea europaea var. sylvestris, 2227 nucleotides long. RefSeq lists it as uncharacterized. The record is from RefSeq and is a predicted model, not a curated record. Lineage: Eukaryota; Viridiplantae; Streptophyta; Magnoliopsida; Lamiales; Oleaceae. The transcript has 2 exons.
CCUACAAUGCGGGUUGGACAGUACGAGACAACCUUCCAAAGUUCCCUGUCAGAGAUUUUAAUUUGUGCACAAUGCUAUUGAGACUUGCUUUCCCAUUUUGCCCUAGUCUUGCACUUGCUUUCCUCACAUUUCCCUUCACUUCUACCUUUCCCAAUCGACCCACUACGCGCCGCUUGCCUCGCCAUUAACUGGAUCUCUCUUCUUACCAUUUUCACUGCUCCUUCGACCACCAUAGCUUCUUAGUUCAACGACAUACCAGCGGGGUUUAAGCUAUUCCACAAGGGAAUGGCGCGCCAAUUUUUCCUGCAUCAUUUCCAACCAACGUCUGUCCGACCAUCCUACUAGUAUCUAUCCAAUGUCCAAUCGGGGAGAAUUAAUCUCUUUCACAACCACUGGAUUCUAGCUUCUCCAUCCUGUCAACGCCUCACCUCCAGCAAGAUUGGACGCCAAUUCAUUUUCAGUUCCUUCGAAAUUCUCUCCUGCACCACAAAUUCACUGGCGACAAUGGACAACUACGGCCAACAAUGGGACUCUUUUCCCGAACACCUGCACGGCACCAGUGGCGACGCCCAUCCGAUGUACUUUACUGCAUCUGACCCGCAAGAGCCUCAACCAACAAUGCGAACAUCUGCCAAAUGGAACUCCUUGGAGCUCAGGGUCUUCAUCGCAUCAUGUGAAACUGUGAUUACAGAAGGCCACCGAUUCAACAAGUCAGCAGGAAAGAGUUGGACCACGUUGCAAAUGAAAAACUAAUGGAGGAAACUGCAGGAAUAGCACAAAUACAUGUUCGAGCUGCUAUGAUGCAUUGGAAUUGCGUACCGCUCGAGCACCGGUACAAUCAUCGCCCCUGAGCAUUGGUGGGAAUCCAAAAUCAAGGUAUCCUAUGUUGUGCUCCAUUAAAACUUGUGCACAAUACCUUUCAUGUUUCAAGUAUUUAGACUCAUGUUGUAUACACAACACAUGUUAAGUACUAGCUUUUUAUAUCAAAUUAGGAUUUUCUUUCACAAAUAAGUUGUUGAUUCCGAACCCAUUUAUCCUUUUAUGAACAUUCCCUUAUUAAUAUUAAUAAUAAUAAUAUUAUUGGUAUUGUUGUUAUUAUUUAUUGGUUUGUUACAUCCUUUGCAAAGAAAACAACUGAACUUGAUUGGCCUGAUUUCAGUAUGACCGAUUUCAGAUUAUUAUUAUUUUGUUGGUUGGUUUCAUGGGAGCAAUGGUACUCAAUUGUGUCUAUUGAAUACUUUUUAAAAAGAUUAAAUUUGAAUCUUUACAUGAAGAGAAUGAGUACCCCGUGUAUGGGUUUUGUGCAUAUCUUCACCCAUAAUAAUCCUUAAGGCUUGUUCCAUUAUGCUGUGAAGUAAUAAAUGUUACUUUCAAUAACUUCAAAUAGGUACCAUAUAUUUACGUUAUCUUUUGCUUACCUUGAAAUUGUUAUGUAUAAUCCUUUUUCCUUUCCUUCUUGUUUGGAAACUGGAGAACUCGAAAUAUGCGAAGUACAAGCACGUGGACUGCAGUGAGAUUUAUGAUACAUAUGGAAAACUGUUCAACGACACAGUGACUUGACUAAGUACGCGUUGUCCCCAUCAAAGCUGUCACAGCGUGGUUUUGAGUUGGGUACAGAUAGGGAUUGAGAUGAUGCCGACGACAAGUUCCUAAUCAACGUGGAAGAAACUGAUUCUAGUGGAAGUCUGAACGAAGACAGAGGAAACUCAUCCAUGAACAUUUUCGGGAGACGAAGUGGGGAUAGACGGAAAAGGCAAACAAUGAAGGGACAAAGAAAGUAAGAAAAGGUACAGUGCCCGAGAUGUUUCGGCAUCGCUCGAGCAGAUGGUUAGCAUCGGAACGGAUCUCGCCUCAAUUACGAGAUCACAUCGUAAAGGAGAAAUUUCGAUCGCUGAGUGUGUCGACAAACUUCUGUCGUCUGGUUACAUGAAGAAGGCUAAUGUACUCCACUUGUUUUGUGGUUCCUCUAUGACAAAGAUAACCGAAAUUCUUAUUGUGCUGCAAAGACAACAGCUCUUCGUUUCAAGUUUGUGGAGUACUGUUUUGAGCAAGACAACACGGGCAACAAUGAAAGGGGUGACUCAGUGGCCUUCUGCUUCUGUGGUGGUGGUGUUUAUUUGGUUUUUUUAACGUUCCAAACGUUUUUCCCCGUAUUAUGCAUGCUGUAGAAUUGUAACAUAAUUGAACUAGACAAUUUUCUAUGCCCAAUUUGAAUAUGUUGUCACUA